Molecule: long non-coding RNA, 265 nt
Filed under: Homo sapiens (human)
Lineage: Eukaryota; Metazoa; Chordata; Mammalia; Primates; Hominidae
Description: non-protein coding lnc-MAU2-1:1
Source: RNAcentral
GGCGGGCGGGCGGACCGGCGCAGCGAGCGCCGCGGGCCCGGGCGGCCCCACAGGCGGAACGAGCGCGCGCGGCCCGGCGUCCCCGGCCCCUCCGCCGCCCGGCCCCGCGGGCGACCCCGGACCAGCAGCCCCCGUAACCUGCGCGCUGCCCUAGGGCCCGGCCGACCCGCGGCCCGGUUGGUCAGCACAUUGUCUCAAGUAGCCUUUUGAUGUCACUGUGGCCAUGGCCAACUGGUAGGACCAGCACCCCAUACCCCGAAGCCAG